GCCGAAGUGGUGGAAUUGGUAGACACGCUAGAUUCAGGUUCUAGUGCUCGCAAGGGUGUGGGAGUUCGAGUCUCCCCUUCGGCACCA
RNAcentral lists this transfer RNA (87 nucleotides) under Desulfovibrio sp. OttesenSCG-928-C14. RNAcentral's name for it is "tRNA-Leu". It matches the Rfam family "tRNA". From Rfam's summary of the family: Transfer RNA (tRNA) molecules are approximately 80 nucleotides in length. The record is from RNAcentral. Lineage: Bacteria; Pseudomonadati; Thermodesulfobacteriota; Desulfovibrionia; Desulfovibrionales; Desulfovibrionaceae.